RNAcentral lists this ribosomal RNA (468 nucleotides) under uncultured bacterium. Its description in RNAcentral is "partial 16S ribosomal RNA". It matches the Rfam family "Bacterial small subunit ribosomal RNA", at positions 28 to 507 of the family's 1533-position model. The record is from RNAcentral.
GACGAACGCUGGCGGCGUGCUUAACACAUGCAAGUCGAACGGAAAGGCCCUGCCUUGGUGGGGUGCUCGAGUGGCGAACGGGUGAGUAACACGUGAGUAACCUGCCCUUUACUUUGGGAUAACUUCAGGAAACUGGGGCUAAUACCGGAUAGGAGCUCCUGCUGCAUGGUGGUGGUUGGAAAGUUUCGGCGGUUGGGCAAGGACUCGCGGCUUAUCAGCAUGUUGGUGGGGUAGUGGCUUACCAAGGCUUUGACGGGUAGCCGGCCUGAGAGGGUGACCGGCCACAUUGGGCCUGAGGUACGGCCCGGACUGCUACGGGAGGCAGCGGUGGGGGAUAUUGCACAAUGGGCGGAAGCAGGAUGCAGGGACGCCGCGUGCGGGAUGACGGCCUUCGGGUUGGAAACCGCGUUCGCCUGGGACGAAGCGUGAGUGACGGUAACGGGUAAAGAAGCACCGGCUAACUACGUG